CAAAAACAUCGCCUCUUGAAUUAAAAAUAAGAGGUCCAGCCUGCCCAGUGACCAAUGUUCAACGGCCGCGGUAUCCUAACCGUGCGAAGGUAGCGUAAUCACUUGUUCUUUAAAUGUGGACUAGUAUGAACGGCAUCACGAGGGUUAUACUGUCUCCUUUCUCUAAUCAGUGAAACUAAUCUCCCCGUGAAGAAGCGAGGAUGAAACUAUAAGACGAGAAGACCCUAUGGAGCUUUAAAGUUCUUUUUCAAACGCCAAACCUCUUCCAAGUCACAGACUCCUGCACGAAACCACGCGCCAUGAAGACAACUUUUAGGUUGGGGUGACCAUGGAGUAUAAAACAACCUCCACGCUGAACAGGCCUCUAAACCUUGAGCCAAGGACCACAGCCCGCCGCACUAAAAAAUUAACACACAUUGAUCCAAUGAAUUUUGAUCAACGAACCAAGUUACCCUAGGGAUAACAGCGCAAUCUACUUCAAGAGUUCCUAUCGACAAGUGGGUUUACGACCUCGAUGUUGGAUCAGGGUGUCCCAGUGGUGCAGCCGCUACUAAUGGUUCGUUUGUUCAACGAUUAAAACCCU
RNAcentral lists this ribosomal RNA (583 nucleotides) under Scinax cf. nasicus ABGD cluster 29. RNAcentral's name for it is "partial large subunit ribosomal RNA". It matches the Rfam family "Bacterial large subunit ribosomal RNA", at positions 1808 to 2597 of the family's 2925-position model. The record is from RNAcentral. Lineage: Eukaryota; Metazoa; Chordata; Amphibia; Anura; Hylidae.